This 755-nucleotide ribosomal RNA is filed under the name uncultured Pseudomonas sp. Its description in RNAcentral is "bacterial SSU rRNA". It matches the Rfam family "Bacterial small subunit ribosomal RNA", at positions 28 to 776 of the family's 1533-position model. Lineage: Bacteria; Pseudomonadati; Pseudomonadota; Gammaproteobacteria; Pseudomonadales; Pseudomonadaceae. The record is from RNAcentral.
AUUGAACGCUGGCGGCAGGCCUAACACAUGCAAGUCGAGCGGCAGCACGGGUACUUGUACCUGGUGGCGAGCGGCGGACGGGUGAGUAAUGCCUAGGAAUCUGCCUAGUAGUGGGGGAUAACGUCCGGAAACGGGCGCUAAUACCGCAUACGUCCUACGGGAGAAAGUGGGGGAUCUUCGGACCUCACGCUAUUAGAUGAGCCUAGGUCGGAUUAGCUAGUUGGUGAGGUAAUGGCUCACCAAGGCGACGAUCCGUAACUGGUCUGAGAGGAUGAUCAGUCACACUGGAACUGAGACACGGUCCAGACUCCUACGGGAGGCAGCAGUGGGGAAUAUUGGACAAUGGGCGAAAGCCUGAUCCAGCCAUGCCGCGUGUGUGAAGAAGGUCUUCGGAUUGUAAAGCACUUUAAGUUGGGAGGAAGGGCAGUUACCUAAUACGUGAUUGUUUUGACGUUACCGACAGAAUAAGCACCGGCUAACUCUGUGCCAGCAGCCGCGGUAAUACAGAGGGUGCAAGCGUUAAUCGGAAUUACUGGGCGUAAAGCGCGCGUAGGUGGUUUGCUAAGUUGGAUGUGAAAGCCCCGGGCUCAACCUGGGAACUGCAUCCAAAACUGGCAAGCUAGAGUAUGGUAGAGGGUGGUGGAAUUUCCUGUGUAGCGGUGAAAUGCGUAGAUAUAGGAAGGAACACCAGUGGCGAAGGCGACCACCUGGACUGAUACUGACACUGAGGUGCGAAAGCGUGGGGAGCAAACAGG